This 246-nucleotide long non-coding RNA is filed under the name Trifolium pratense (red clover). RNAcentral's name for it is "long non-coding RNA (TPRA_LNC006469)". Lineage: Eukaryota; Viridiplantae; Streptophyta; Magnoliopsida; Fabales; Fabaceae. The record is from RNAcentral.
UUGCUUCUGAAACCAUUUAGCUGGUAGAAUGGUUUCAGAGAUUUGUACUCUUAAACCAUUUUCCUGGUAGAAUGGUUUCAGUGAGUUGAUGUAAUGUAGUGAAAAAUGAGAUUAAGGUAGUGAAAAAUUGGGUUUUUUUUUCUGUGUCCAAAUCAAACGAACCAAGUCUCUAUUUGUAGAGAAAAAAAAAUUAUGAAUUUUGGUAUAAAAAAAAAAUACAAAAUUAAUUUACAACGAAAUAAUUGA